Molecule: transfer RNA, 76 nt
Filed under: bacterium
Lineage: Bacteria
Description: tRNA-Cys
Rfam family: tRNA
About the family: Transfer RNA (tRNA) molecules are approximately 80 nucleotides in length.
Source: RNAcentral
GGCGACGUGGCCAAGUGGCUAAGGCAACGGUCUGCAAAACCGUAACUCGCGGGUUCAACUCCCGUCGUCGCCUCCA